RNAcentral lists this ribosomal RNA (468 nucleotides) under uncultured bacterium. RNAcentral describes it as "partial 16S ribosomal RNA". It matches the Rfam family "Bacterial small subunit ribosomal RNA", at positions 28 to 507 of the family's 1533-position model. The record is from RNAcentral.
GACGAACGCUGGCGGCGUGCUUAACACAUGCAAGUCGAACGGAAAGGCCCUGCUUUUGUUGGGUGCUCGAGUGGCGAACGGGUGAGUAACACGUGAGUAACCUGCCCUUGACUUUGGGACAACUUCAGGAAACUGGGGCUAAUACCGGAUAGGAGCUCCUGCUGCAUGGUGGGGGUUGGAAAGUUUCGGCGGUUGGGGAUGGACUCGCGGCUUAUCAGCUUGUUGGUGGGGUAGUGGCUUACCAAGGCUUUGACGGGUAGCCGGCCUGAGAGGGUGACCGGCCACAUUGGGACUGAGAUACGGCCCAGACUCCUACGGGAGGCAGCAGUGGGGAAUAUUGCACAAUGGGCGGAAGCCUGAUGCAGCAACGCCGCGUGCGGGAUGACGGCCUUCGGGUUGUAAACCGCUUUCGCCUGUGACGAAGCGUGAGUGACGGUAAUGGGUAAAGAAGCACCGGCUAACUACGUG